This is an RNA transcript of Cottoperca gobio, 3041 nucleotides long. It is a transcript of the gene named KH domain containing, RNA binding, signal transduction associated 1b, with no coding region annotated. Lineage: Eukaryota; Metazoa; Chordata; Actinopteri; Perciformes; Bovichtidae. The record is from RefSeq and is a predicted model, not a curated record. The transcript is spliced from 11 exons.
GCUCACUUCCGCCGGUUUGAGUAGGAUCACUAUUCUAUCGGUCUCUCAGCGCUUUUGUUCUCUCAUUCCCAUCCAGUCAGUGCUGCUGAAGAGAGUGGACCAGCCAGUAGGGAAAGCACACAGACUCAAAGUAGCGGACUCGUCCGUCGCAGAAACGCCCGGUAGCCCCGUGCAAAGCGCCGUCUGCACACAGGAUACGCGGCACUCCAUAGUUGCAUAACUGGACUACUUUUUUUUAAUUAUUAUUGGGGUUUUCUCAUUUUUUAUUUUUUUGUGUUGCACCGAAACUGACUCCCUUCCCAUCUAAACUGAAAAUGGAGAACGACGAAAAAUAUCUCCCCGAGCUGCUGGCGGAGAAGGACAGCCUGGACUCGUCGUUCACGCACGCCAUGAAACUUUUAAACGCAGAAAUUGACAGAAUCCAGAAAGACGAGACUAAAAAGGAGGCGGACCCAUACCUGGACCUUUUCACAACAAAGAACAUCAAACUUAAGGAACGCGUGCUCAUACCUGUCAAACAGUACCCAAAGUUCAAUUUCGUGGGGAAGAUUUUGGGACCUCAGGGCAAUACAAUCAAACGUCUGCAGGAAGAGACCGGAGCCAAGAUCUCUGUGCUGGGCAAAGGAUCCAUGAGAGACAAAUCCAAGGAGGAGGGGCUGAGGAAAGGCGGCGAGCCCAAGUACGCCCACUUGUCCAUGGAGCUGCACGUAUUCAUCGAGGUGUUCGCCCCCGUGCCGGAGGCCUACCUGCGCAUGGCACACGCCAUGGAGGAGGUCAAGAAGUUCCUGUUUCCCGAUAUGAUGGAUGAUAUCUGCCAAGAGCAGUUCCUGGAGAUGGGCUACCUGAACGGAGGCCAGGAGCAUGGGGCCAGGGGCAGAGGGGGCCCUCCGGUCAGGGGCCGCGGACUUCCCCCUGGUGGAGCACACAGGGGUCGGGGCAUGCCCCCUCGCGGAGCCCCCACCAGGGGAGGUGUUGCUCGAGGCUGCCCAACCAGAGGUGGUGCAGUGAGGGGCGUCCCAUCGGGCCGAGGAGGACCCCCAGUAGCCCCUGCCAGGGGAUCCUCGGCACCCCGGGCCAGGCCUCAGGGCGCAGGACCCCCUCAUAGGAUGGCGCAUCCACCCCCCCACCAGCACACCCCUGCUGCCGCUGCUGAGGGCUACGAGGAAUAUGGCUACGAUGAGAGCUACACAGACACGGCCUACGAGUCAUACGACAGCUAUUACAGUCAGCCGCAGGCAGAGCCAGAAUACUACGACUACGGACACGGAGAGACCACAGAGUCGUACGAGUCUUAUGGCCAGGAUGACUGGAACGGGACCCAGCGACUAGCUUCAGGGAAGGCCCCUCCCCCCUCCAGAGGUGCCAAGACGCCUUACCGGGAGCACCCGUACCGACAGUACUGAAGCGGACUCACCACUCUUAACGUGUCGCCCUGACUACCGCCUGUCUCCCACGGCAGCUCUCGCUUUAAGCCGCCCGACAAAAGCACAGCUAUCGGUCACUGAGUGCCCGGAGACUGACAGUCUGCUGAAGUGGGACCGUACGAACCACAGUGAAGCCAUGCACACAGGAGCAGCUCAGCAUGAAGGAGGUGGUCAGACGAAAGCCCUCAGGUGUGGGGGGGGGGGGAGGGGCGGCCUGUUGAAAGGUGCGGCCCCCCCAGUUCUGUCUCUGGCAGGGGGGGUGCUGUUGGUGGCUGGCUGCCGUGUGACCCCCAGGAGCCAGCUGAUGAAGAAGUGCGGGAAGAGGAGCUGGCUCAGACUCCCACGGGAACAGGACGAAGACUGCAGCUGGGAAUCGAGAAGAACCAGAGACGACCUCAUGUUCUAUGUGGACUAUCUUCUACGUCUCAUGUCUUUAUUGAAUGAUUAUGCAUUAACGUCAUGUAAUUAUUGUCUGACAUCGAAGACACUUGAAGCCUUUUGCUGAUUGCAAGCUGCUUCCACAGACCACCCCCUCUUCCAACAAAUGAAAUUGUUACAGCCUUAAUUUACCAUAAAAUGAGCACUCCCGUUAUAGUGUGCUGUGAAAUCGUAUUUAAUUUCUAUUAACUCUUGGAUUAGACAUGAGACAAAGUCUUUUUAUUUUCUGCAAGGCAAGCUGUAUUCUCCCAUUCAGGCAGAAUCACGUGACCUCUGCAUUUCAAGUACUUGAUUAUUUUAACAUUCUGGCUGCGUGUUAUUCAGUAUCUCUGCCUUUUUGCCACGUGAAAUUAGACUCCGCGCCAGAGAGUUACAGACGCCCGGAGAGAGUGGAUCACUAUCUUGCUGCGGCCGAGUUUACUGUGAGCUUCCACACAAACACACGCCGCCACAUCUUGGCAUUGCUCGGCCUGUUGCAGCCCUGAGGAUAUCAAAUGCUAAUGCGGCGGCCUAUUUGCAUGUACUCGCAUGUAGCCUCCCCGCAAAUGUGCAACACUUUCACAACCGACGCUGGCUUGUUCUCAGCGCGGCAGCAUCCACUUAUGAUAAUUGAGCGAGAUGGACUCGGGAAGAGAGCAGCAUGUGAGAAGAGGACAGAGGGUGAAGACAGACAUUACUAACUUCCCUCCAUUUAUCCAUCAUGCCUCUGUUGAUUUGAUUCCCCUCUAUGCCAUUUUCUGCCAUUAUCACUGAUGGUAUUACGGCUGCCUGUGGUGCUGAGUUACAUUUAGAGGUCAAAACUGUACUUUCCUGUAUUAAAAACAAAUUUCUCUGUCCUGAUUCGCUGGUCAGAGACGGCAUUACCCAAGCCAGAGGCUCCAUUUAGUAUAUUGAAAAAGCUAGCGGCUCAGAGGAUGGAACAUUAGAUAUUGGGAUAGAAACCAUCAUUUGAGAUGAAACAACAGGCCAUAUCCAAAACAGAUCAUUUUUCAGUCUUUAUGUGCUAUUAUGUCUAAAAUAAUGAUUUCUGUGUCUCCUAUAAUGUAAUGAAAGAUAAGUAAUGGUGGUGGAAGCCAUCUGCUUUGUUGGAAUCAAUGAACUGUCAAGAGUGCAAGGGUGGAAAAGAAAGUAAAUGUUGCUGUGCCAUGAUCAAUAAAAGUAGACUUGAAUAUGAGCGAG